CCUACGGGUGGCAGCAGUGGGGAAUAGUGGGCAAUGGGCGCAAGCCUGACCCAGCAACGCCGCGGGAAGGAAGAAGGCUGGCGGGUGGUAAACGUCUUGUCGCAGGGACGAAGCAAGGGACGGGACCUGAGGAAUAAGCCACGGCUAACUACGGGCCAGCAGCCGCGGUAAUACGUAGGUGGCAAGCGUUAUCCGGAUUUACUGGGUGUAAAGGGCGGGGAGGCGGGAAAGCAAGUCAGAUGUGAAAACCAGGGGCGCAACCUGUGGCCUGCAUUUGAAACGGUUUUUCUUGAGGACUGGGGCGGCAGCCGGCAUUCCUUGUGUCGCGGUUAACUUCGUAGCUCUUAGGCGGCACCCCAGUGGCGCCGGCGGUCUGCUGGACCGCACCUGCCGCUGCGGCGCG
This 403-nucleotide ribosomal RNA is filed under the name uncultured bacterium. Its description in RNAcentral is "partial 16S ribosomal RNA". It matches the Rfam family "Bacterial small subunit ribosomal RNA", at positions 338 to 755 of the family's 1533-position model. The record is from RNAcentral.